AUUACUCUAUGAAUAAUCACACAUCUCCAACUCUUUUUCUUACUUCUUAUAUUUUUCAAAAAUGAGUUCAAGUCGCUUUUUGUCAUAUUCUAUUCAAGAAGAUAUACAAUUGUGUCAUGUGUAUCUCGAUGUUUCCCAAAAUUCAACGAAGACCAAAAAGAUCUUUACAAACUCGAAUGACGUCAAUUCUUUCUGCAGUCUCAAAGCUGAGAGGAUGCGUUAACCAAAUUGAGAAUAAAAAUCCUAGCGGUGCUUCUGAAGAAGACAUUGUAAGUACUCAAUUAUAAAUUCUUGUGUUUACUAACUUAUCUUUAUUAAAUUAUUUGUACAUGCUAACUUAUUU
RNAcentral lists this small RNA (343 nucleotides) under Arabidopsis thaliana (thale cress). Its description in RNAcentral is "ATSL017590". Lineage: Eukaryota; Viridiplantae; Streptophyta; Magnoliopsida; Brassicales; Brassicaceae. The record is from RNAcentral.